UUUUUUGUGGAGAGUUUGAUCCUGGCUCAGGACGAACGCUGGCGGCGUGCUUAACACAUGCAAGUCGAACGGAAAGGCCAGUGCUUGCACUGGUACUCGAGUGGCGAACGGGUGAGUAACACGUGGGUGAUCUGCCUUGCACUCUGGGAUAAGCUUGGGAAACUGGGUCUAAUACCGGAUAUGAACUGCCUUUAGUGUGGUGGUUGGAAAGUUUUUUCGGUGCAAGAUGAGCUCGCGGCCUA
This 242-nucleotide ribosomal RNA is filed under the name Corynebacterium sp. HMSC062A03. Its description in RNAcentral is "partial 16S ribosomal RNA". It matches the Rfam family "Bacterial small subunit ribosomal RNA", at positions 1 to 240 of the family's 1533-position model. The record is from RNAcentral. Lineage: Bacteria; Bacillati; Actinomycetota; Actinomycetes; Mycobacteriales; Corynebacteriaceae.